This 1258-nucleotide long non-coding RNA is filed under the name Anolis carolinensis (green anole). RNAcentral's name for it is "lncRNA (ENSACAG00000041782.1)". Lineage: Eukaryota; Metazoa; Chordata; Lepidosauria; Squamata; Anolidae. The record is from RNAcentral.
UAUCGUAACACCAACAGUUAAAAUGAUUUACAUUAAGCAUUAAUACUUAUGGAACAGUAUACAAAACUUAAAACAUAUAAAGUGCAUAGUUCCGUUCAUCCAAAAACCUUGCAUCUAAUCCUUAAUCCUGGGCCCUGGUCAAAGUGGCACUUGGUCAAAAAAAAAAAAAAAAGAAAAGGUUGGGAACCACUGGAUUAGAUUAAGCUGGUUAACCAGUUAAAAUUCAUGGGUAAAUUAGGAGGGUUUUUUUUUACCUGAAAAAAAUCGGGGGGGGGGGGGAGAGAUUGAACCCCUAGUCCGCCCCCUCUCCCUGGGGGCUUGAUAGAGGAGGGGGAGGAAGCGAAGAAAGAAGAGGAGGCGGCUGCAACCUUGCAACCUCCCUCCCUCCCUCCCUCCCUCCUUGGUGGCCACUUGGCAACUGGCUGCGUCUUCAGCCUCUGUUCGGAGGAAGGAGGGGAGGAGGGAGGGGAGGGGGCGGGCUGCUGUUCCUGAUUGACAGCCAGCCCCAAGCGCCUCCCCUCCGCCGCCCAAUACAGAGGCAAGGGGAAGGAGAGCCCUCCUCUUUCUCCCCCUCCUUCCCUCCCUCCUUCCCUUCCCGCUCUUCUCCCCGCGCCGCUUUGCCAGAGGAGCGCCGGCUGGGCAUGGCUGGGGUCUGCUGCUGCUGCUGCUGCGGGGCUCUGGAGCAGAGGGCGAAGGAGCAGGUCAUUAUUGCAGAUUGUUGGACCUGGUACAGAAGAAUACACUUCAAGGUAUGAUUUUUUCAGUGUAUUAAUUGUUAAGCCACAUACCAAAAGAAAUUUAAUCAUAUAUUAUAAAGUUAGUUUUCUGUGUUCUGUGUAAAUAUGCACUUGCCCUCAAUCCAUAGCUCUGUGGGCUUAUGCUUGUGUGUGGCUUUCCACCAGGGGUUUCUCCAUAGUUAAGUAGCCAUAAUUAAUAAAUGAAUUUGCAACCUUUUUUUCUGAAAUGAAUGGGAAAUUUUUCAUUUUAUAAAAUUAGUGAUUCAGAUCCUAAUCAAAACUGUAGUAUGACUCCUGAAUCUGCAGGGAAUAUGUUCCCGGAACCAUUGAUAGUAAUGAACCCUAUUGAAAGGAAAGGCUGCUGGCCCAAGAAUUCCAUAAAAUCAUGCUGAAGGACUCAGAAAAUAUCUAGAGGAGACAUAUUUUCUUGUACAUGGAUACACAAAACCACAGAUCCCAGGGGAUUGUAUUGUAACUGUGGGCACCACAGUUGAAGGGAGAUGUUGACAAGCUGGAAAGCG